This 597-nucleotide ribosomal RNA is filed under the name Triticum aestivum (bread wheat). RNAcentral describes it as "partial small subunit ribosomal RNA". The record is from RNAcentral. Lineage: Eukaryota; Viridiplantae; Streptophyta; Magnoliopsida; Poales; Poaceae.
AUGCUUGCGGAUGUAAACCUCAACCAGGGUAGCCAAGACACAAUAUCUUGGAAGUUCACCAACAGUGGCGAGUACUCCGCUUCCUCGACUUACAUGGUGCAGUUUGUCGGUCUCUCAUUUUGCCCAAUGAAUGCUACAAUCUGGAAGAUGUGGGCUCCUCCGAAGUGUAAAUUUUUUGCUUGGUUGAUCUUCCAAAAUCGUGUUUGGACAGCCGAUCGUUUGCUGCGCCGAGGUUGGCCAAACUGUAAUUUGUGCCCUCUCUGCAAGCAAGUGCAAGAAUCUGCUGCUCACCUCCUAUUCCAAUGUAGGUUCACUGUCCGGAUUUGGACUGAAAUUUGUACUUGGCUUGGCAUUCUUGACUCCUCACCAAUGAUUUGGCGUCAUGAAGACUCAGUUAAAGAUUGGUGGCUUAAGGCGGUUAGUGGGGGAGGUGACCACAGGAAGGCCACCGCCUCCUUGAUGAUGCUUGUCUCAUGGGAAAUUUGAAAGGAGCGCAACGCAAGAAUUUUUCAUAAUGUCUCCGCUCCGACCUCUAUUGUUAUCGCGAAAAUCAAGGAGGAGGCUCAUCUGGACUUUGGCAGGAGCGAAGCAGCUUAG